This 712-nucleotide ribosomal RNA is filed under the name Enterobacteriaceae bacterium HGH0223. RNAcentral describes it as "bacterial SSU rRNA". It matches the Rfam family "Bacterial small subunit ribosomal RNA", at positions 85 to 794 of the family's 1533-position model. The record is from RNAcentral. Lineage: Bacteria; Pseudomonadati; Pseudomonadota; Gammaproteobacteria; Enterobacterales; Enterobacteriaceae.
UUGCUGACGAGUGGCGGACGGGUGAGUAAUGUCUGGGAAACUGCCUGAUGGAGGGGGAUAACUACUGGAAACGGUAGCUAAUACCGCAUAACGUCGCAAGACCAAAGAGGGGGACCUUAGGGCCUCUUGCCAUCGGAUGUGCCCAGAUGGGAUUAGCUAGUAGGUGGGGUAACGGCUCACCUAGGCGACGAUCCCUAGCUGGUCUGAGAGGAUGACCAGCCACACUGGAACUGAGACACGGUCCAGACUCCUACGGGAGGCAGCAGUGGGGAAUAUUGCACAAUGGGCGCAAGCCUGAUGCAGCCAUGCCGCGUGUAUGAAGAAGGCCUUCGGGUUGUAAAGUACUUUCAGCGGGGAGGAAGGGAGUAAAGUUAAUACCUUUGCUCAUUGACGUUACCCGCAGAAGAAGCACCGGCUAACUCCGUGCCAGCAGCCGCGGUAAUACGGAGGGUGCAAGCGUUAAUCGGAAUUACUGGGCGUAAAGCGCACGCAGGCGGUUUGUUAAGUCAGAUGUGAAAUCCCCGGGCUCAACCUGGGAACUGCAUCUGAUACUGGCAAGCUUGAGUCUCGUAGAGGGGGGUAGAAUUCCAGGUGUAGCGGUGAAAUGCGUAGAGAUCUGGAGGAAUACCGGUGGCGAAGGCGGCCCCCUGGACGAAGACUGACGCUCAGGUGCGAAAGCGUGGGGAGCAACAGGAUUAGAUACCCUGGUAGU